Long non-coding RNA from Chrysemys picta bellii (western painted turtle), 7541 nucleotides. RefSeq lists it as uncharacterized. The record is from RefSeq and is a predicted model, not a curated record. Lineage: Eukaryota; Metazoa; Chordata; Testudines; Emydidae.
UAGCACGUCAGUAAUGUUAUCUGAUGGUAACAAUGGCACAGAUCCUUGAAAAAUAAUUAUAGAAGAGGGUAAGCAAUGUGAUGCUUGUUAAAAUGGAACAUAUAUAAAUAUCAGUUGAUCUAGAUGGUCUGCAUUUUAGCAUAUGAAAUGAAUUCCUGAUCCUAUUUACCACACCGCUGACAAUGAUUGUGAAAAGUCUUGUGCAACUGAGAAUAACUGAGAGGCUACAGAAAAGAAAAUGUAGUGCUGACUUCCAAAAUUGGAAAGAAGAGUGUUCCUGAUAAUUGCGACUGGAUUGUAAGCUCUUCAGUGCAGAGAGGAAUGACAACUCAGUAUCUAGAUAUCAUUAAUUGAAGCCACAAAUGCUGGAAUUUGAUUUGCCAUUGCAGCACAGCUCAGGAACCACCAGCCUUAAGCCAACCAGCUGUCAUGCCAAACCAAGCUGCCAGCUGUCUGCUGAACGUGUCAAACACCCCAGAGGAGAAGAAUGUCAGAUGACAAGUCCAUGACAAAUGGUGUCAGUUCUAUCAGAGAAAUGCCACUUGGCAACACAUAGAGCCGUCUGCAACCACAGAGUUAGACAAAAUUCUGAGUGAUAUUAGGAGCGGCAUUGCUGCUGGCUAUCACAACAUAUCAUCAGAGUUUUUGAAGCACCUCCGACUGCUGGUGCAGUUCUUCUUGUGAGUGGUCAACCAACAGUGACUUCCAAAGAGAUGGUAAAUGUCAGAAGUCAUUGCUCUCAUGAAACUGGAGGACUAACAAUGUUGCAAGCCAUUGACCAAUAUCCCUGUUAUCUGUGCCAUUCAAGGUGCUGGAGCAUCUCAUUCUCCAGGUCAUCUUCCCAGAUAUGGAGUCAAUUCUCAGCAUUGAGCAAACAGGCUUUCAGAGAGAUUGGAGAAUCUACAAUCAAAUGCUAACUUUGAUAACAUUAAUCAAAAACUAUCUUUAGAAAAGAUUGGAGUCAUAUUUCUGGACCUAACAGCAGCAUAUGACACAGUCUGGCACAUGGGGCUCUUAGUCGAAUUGUUAAGAGCACUUCCAGCAUGCAUAGCCAACGCCCUUGAUCUCCUCCUCCACUUGUGUUUCCAAGUGCACGUGGGAGACAGAGUUAGUGCAUGGAAAAGAAAUCAAGAGUCUAUCCCAAGCCUCUUUGCUAGCACUAACACUUUUCAAUUUGUACACAAACAACCUCCCACUUACCCAGUCCCACAAGUUCAUGUAUACAGAUGGCAUUUGCUUAGGCUUUCCAGCAGGGUCAUUAACAGAAGACUUGACUAAGAUGGCCGAAUACUGUAGUCAGUGGCAUUUACGAUCAAGUGUGCCCAAGACAGUAUUGAGUGUGUUCCAUCUUUACAAUGCACCUCAACCGCCCAAGAACUGAAUAUCUUUCUCAAUGGACAUUGCUAGAAACAUGAAUCCCACCUCUACCACAGAGUAACACUAGAUAGAUCUUUCACUACCUGAGGAAUAUUGAGGUCACAUAAACAAAUUUGCCAGCAAUUCAUGGUGAACAAAUGCUCAAACUUUCCAAUCAUCCAGUUAUUUAGCCCUCUGAUACUCUGCAGCAGAAUACUGUGCUCCAGUCUGGCUCCAUUUAUCUCACGUCAAGUUGGCUGACACACAACUACACUCAACCAUGCUCUUCAUAACUGGGACGAUUUGACCCACAUCAGUAGUGUUAAGCAGCAUAGCUCCUCCACACAUUCAUCAUGAGGAUACUACAGCUAGAAUGAUAGAGAAAAUCAGGGCAAAUCCAACCGCUAUACACAGAUCUCUUCGACCACUCAAGAAUGCGCUUGUCGUCAAAGCACCUGUUGUGGACCACUUGCCCUGCCCAGAUUUCUCUGUGAUCUCAAUGUGGCGUGAAGAAUGGUCUACAGCUAACAUCAGAACCAGUCUUUUAUAACUGACCCGACCAUGCAUGUACCCAGCUUUGAUUUGCUACACCACUCAUGGGCCCUUCUGAACUGAUUUCUAAUGGGCCAGGGUCAAUGUGCAGCCAACCUUCACACUUGGGGCCAACGAGACGAUCCCAUGUGUGGGUGUGGCCAAAGACAGACAAUGUCACACAUCACCGACGACUGCCCUCUGACCAGAUUUAAUGGUGGUCUGAGGACUCUGCACUUUGCUGAUGAGUCUGCUACAAAUUGGCUUGGGAAGCACCACACCCAAUAAGAAGAAGGGCAGAGACUGUCUCUUAUUAUGCAUUUGUUCAGUGCCACAACAGGGCCCCAAUCUUGGCGAGGGCUUCAAAGUGUUCCUUAAUAUCUAAAUAAACAAUAUCAUAAUAUUUUACAAAUAUGUGAGGGGUGUAAACACCAAUUUUUUAGGGGGCACAACUGAGCUAAUGGAAGAGAAAUAAGAAAAGGAUCACUCAGAAACACCGUCUUGAGUGAAUAGGAAAGAUUGGAAACCCUAUUCCUUAAUAUUUUAAAUUAGAUAGGACAAAGAAUUCUAGAAAGCUUACAGUAAGGAAAAUUCUACAUUGACAGGGAGGCUAGAUGAUUUUAGGAAAAAAUAAAUACAUUUGAGUGCCUUCUCUCUGUCAGUUAUAAACAUUAUAAUGGCAAGAGAUGCAAGCCAUAGCUAUCAUAUACAUACUGAAAAGCAGGGGACACGCCCAAUUCAUAGCCCUAGGGAACUCCGUAAUUCAAGGAGCAAUAUCAGAAGAUCACUUAUUUAUAGUGACAAACUGGCACCACUGAGGCAAAUACUAAUGAAGCAAUGUCAGAACAGUGCCCACAAGGCUCAGGAUCUGCUACAAGUAUUUUAAGAGAAACCUAUGAUCUACAGUAUCAAAAGCCACAGAAAGAUCAGUAAGAAUUAAAAUUGACAAUGUGCCAGAAUCCACCUACUAGAAAACAGAAGGUCACUACAAAUCCUCAUUAAAGCUGUCUCAGUGCUUUGGCCUGAUUGAAAUUUUUCAAACAGUAUGUUAUCAUCAUGAAGGUAAGGGCUGCAGUUGCCCUGCCACAACCUUUUUCCAGAACCUUGCUAAGAAAGGUAGAUUUGAAAUAAGGUGGAAAUCUGAGAAAUUGCCUGAGGACAGCGAAAGGCUGCUUAAUCAACUGCUCCAAUCUCCAGCAAAGAAGAAACUCUCCCAGAUGCCAAAAGAGGUGUUAAUGAUAGAUAUUAUAAAAGGGAGCUGCUGCAGUAUAUCUUCCAAGCACUGCCACAAAAGCCUUCCUGGCAACAGAUCAAGAGAACAGGUUGCAAGUGCAGGGCCACAUCUAUAAUAAAAGACAGUGUGACAGAUUUAAAAUCCAUAAGCUAGACUGAAGUACAUAGUUCAGAAUCCCAAUGACCCAGCUCAAACUGCAGUUGCUGUAAGCCUGGGCCUUUAAUAGAAAAGCAUUUUUGUUACAAGACUGGAGCUUCUUCCCACUCCUUAUCUUGUGUCCCUGAUGAUGGAAAUUCCACCUGCCCAGAUGUCUUUUCCAGUGCUGUUUGCUCCACAUCACUUCCCUAAGAACCCUCUACUCCCGUUCCAGCUGUGAAGCUACAAUAGAUUUUAAUUGAGGUGACUAUUCAGCCAUAGUAGAAAGGAAGCUAGAAAGAGCAAGAAUUCCUUGAGUAAGCAUGGACCUAUGUUGUAGCAGCUGUAUCAGUGAAGUGGGGGGAUGAAAAGGAAUGGAUCAUCUUUGGUUGAGCAAGCCAAGUAUGGGGGAUUUGCCCUGGGCUUGGAAACGAAAUUUAAAUGGACAUGGGAUCUCCCCUCCUUUUAUCAAUUAUUGUGUUUUGUAGUUUACCUUCAUCUAAAUAAAAUAGCUCAUUUUGACAUUCCCCUCCCCAUACUUGCAACUUCAACCUUCCUUCUUUAAAACCAGGAGGCUCUGCCACUGGUUCUUCACCUUCUCAGAGCUCUUUAUUGGGUCUUUAUUAUUCCAUCCUCAUAAUGAGAAUUGUCAUGUUAUUUCCCCAUACACAAAGAACAAUAAUAUAAUCAUUCUCAGCCUAAAUUGUUAUUAAUUUUGGUCUAAGGCAAACAAUAAGACAGAACAAAAGUCUCCAUGCACACACAGUUUGCCCCCCUUCCCCUGUAACACACUGUAAUCAUUCUGCCUCACUCAAAGGCAGCUGACUCUGAAGACAAUUAAAGGCAUAAACACGGAAAAAUGCAAAUACACAGAGAGCAGGAUCAUAACAGAUUCAAAGCAAAACUGUAUGUAGCUGUAGUUUGUUUUUUCAAGCUUUGACCUUGCUCCAAUUUAAUUACAGCUGAACCAGAAUAGGGUUUUAAAUGGUCCAGCCAGAGACAAAACAAAAACAAAGUGAACCUAGAAAGCCCCACACCGAAGUCUACCAUAAUCUGGAAUCCUGGUAAAACUGCAACCUUUCCAGGUAACAACACAGAAAGAAUAUCCGGAAAAUGUUAUUAGUUGGUUAUUUAUUCCUGAAGUUCCAACAGAGCCCAAACCAAAAAUUAAAGCAAAAGUGCAUAGAGACAAAGGAGCAGCUGUCUAUUACUACCCUCUGGGUUGAGUCUAAGAAGGAGGAUUAGUAUCUUUUGUGCAAGUCUGAGAAAUGUUUGUUCCUGGCUUCGAUAACCGCGCUUUUUUUUUUAAGUAGCAUUAGAAGAACCUUGUGCUUCACAAAGCUACUGAAGGGUUUUUCCUUUUCUUUUUUCCUUCCUAACCUGGAAAUCCUCCCUCUGGCAGCAGUUGAAGUUGGAGAAAAUUCUUUAUUAAUUUCUGAGCAAGCUGACAGAGAAGUUGAGUGACAAGCUGGUAGUUUGUGAGCCCAGUGAUGGUGUUUAAGCAUCAGCUGGAGUAAUGUGUGUUUUUGGGUGGGUGGUAGACACCUUCUUCAGAGCAGCUGUUAGCUAUUUUGUUUUCCAAACAUCUACUCCAAUUCACCCUUUUCAGGUACAAGGCAGAUAAGGUCAAUCCAUUUUCUAAUGGUACGUGGGUCCUGCCAGUGGCAGAUCUGUCCUCUCCCUUCUAAAUUUUUCCCUUUAGAAGUGCUAUUUGUUUCAUUCCCAAACAUUUUCAAUAUUACUGCUCUGCUACUAGAAUCAAACUUUUAUGCAUAUAUAAUUAACCCUAUGGAAACACCAUCAGGGAGGAGAAAAUGAGAAUCUGAGAUUAAGGUCAAAUCCUGGGGAUUGUCCCUGAUGCACUAGCAGAAAGACAAGAUGCAAUGGAUGUGGUUUAAUUAGACUGCGACUUUAUUAACUUAAUUCAUCUGGGAACUAUCCAGCAAUAACUUGUACAGUGCAGGUCAUGAUUCCUUCCUUAAUCAUUUCCACCUGGUGGAGGGCUGCUGUCAGCCCCCCAUCCCUCCAUAUCGGAUUCUCCUGCAUUGUUGGCACCCCACUACCCUCCCUUGAUAUGAGGGUUAGGGAGCUGGGGAAGAGGGGUUUUCUCCUCACUAAACAAGAAAUGAGGAGCCACAACCCCAUUCCCCAGCUUCAUUAAUGGAUGCCCUCUGCUAAAUCCCCUUGCAACUCUGAUUUAUCAGGGAAUUGGCCCCUGUGUAGAAUGAGUAUUUGUGCUGGACACCUGCCAAAUUGCAGCAACUUGAACCUAACCUCCUGACCUACCCAAGUGGUACCCUGACCUGCAGGGGGGAAGGCAAAAUACCUGCCACAGCUCAGUCAAUCUAGCAAUGAGGAAAAAUUUCCUUUGCCCACAGCAGACCAAAACACCCAGCUAUAUGCUAAUUCUAGACAUGGGAAGGUGCGAGCUGUUACUCUGGAUGUGAGAGGGGGCUCAGACUGGAGGUAUAUGGUAUAUACAUCCUCCCCUAUGUGCAUAGGGGCCAAUGGGUUAUUUGAGCCUCACCGCUCUGCCCAUCAGCUCAGGUGAUUCCUUUCCCCCUGGCAGCCACCCUCCUCCCCAAUUUCUGAAGUAGGGGGGAUCCUUAAAGGAGCCACUACCCUUUUUUCUUGCGAGUCCAGACAAAGUCCCCCACCCCUUUGAGACUGGAGGUAGCAAUGUAUCAGAAAGAGCAUGCUGGACUCUGAAGUAGAAAAAAAUGGGCACUGAUAUUUCACAGGAGACUAAGGAACAGCAGGAGGGACAGACACUGAACAUCUAAAGUAGCAGGUGCCAGGGGAGUGAGCCACACACAAUAAUGCUGCAACACAGUCAAGAGCCAGAGAUGGAAAGAAGGAAAAGAAAAUAAUGAAUUCUUCCUGAAGCCUCUUGCAUGGUUAUUACUGAAUGAAACAACAAGGCAGCCAGCAAUGGGACAAGUUCCAUCAACUUGUGAAGAGGAAAUGCAGAUAAAGAAACAGAUGGCACUUUAGUCUCCUGCAACACAAAGGGGAUGGAGACUUGCCCCUAACGCUUAUGUGGGGAAAUUCCUGGGUGGCACGAAGCCAGCACAGCCUUAGGGGACUGUUCUAGCCAACACAAGUUAGAGCAGACCUUUACGGAUAUGUUUAUAUCGCAAUGUAAGCCCAGGGUUAGUAGAACUUCAGUUAGAAGAGCAUGGGUUUGUUAAUCUUGGGCUUGAGCGUCUACCCUUAUUUGCAACCCUAGGUUAGGAAUUUUUGAACCCUGGGUCCCAACUGGGACUCCAGCAUCUAUACUGUAUUAUGCGGGUCCAACCACCCAUAUCCCAGACUUCCUAGUGCUCUUCCAAAACAUGGCCACUCCAGCCCUUUGUUCAUGCAGUAUAUUAAAACUUAACAGCCCACCAAACUUGACUGUCCAGAGGACAAAGUCUGCUUAUGGGAUUGUGGAAUACAAGAGCAUUAGUCCAGUGGGGUUGCUUCUACACUGCAAAACAACAGGACAUGAAUCCUGGGACCCAGCUUGAUUCAGGCUCCGACCCUCCACUCCUAUGGGAUCCUGGGACUCUGGUUCCGAGACCUGUGUUCUAGCGUGAUUUGUUGUAGAUGGAAAGGGGGUUAGGCUUGAACCUAAGUUUGAACCCUGGGCUUACACUGCCGUGUACCCACUCGUGCUCUGGUAAUCAAUUCCUAACCUGGAGUUACAAAGGAGUAUAGAUUCUCAAGCUGUAGGCUUACAAACCCAGCAUCUGCUAACUUGAGUUCUACUAACCCUGGGCUUAUGUUGCAGUGUAGACAUACCCUAAGAGUUCUAACAUGUGCUGAGGGCUGCUUCAGCCUCCGGCUGCUCCUCAGAUUGGUAUAUAGGAAAUGCUGUCCUGGAUCAGAUCUGUGGUCCUUCUAGUCCAGUAGCCAUUCACCAAAAGUGGGCAGUACCAGAUGCUUCAGAGCAGAUGCAAGAAGCCCUACAGUAGUCAUGGGAUAACCUGUCCCUAAGGGAAGUUUCCACCUAAUCUCCAAUAGAGGAGCACCCUUUCCAAAACUUUUAAAAAUGUAUAUUCUUUUCUACUAUAUAUUUCUAGAUAUAGCCUUAUUAUCUAUAUAAACAUUUAAUCCUUCUUCAAAUCCAGUCAAGCUCUUAGCUUCCAUGGUACCUUGCAGCAAUGAGUUUCACAAGCUAUUUGAAUAUUAUGUUUAAAUUGUUUCGUUUUAUCAAUUUACAAUUUGCCACCUAUGAAUUUCAUUGAAUGUUCUCUUUCUUGCAUUAUGAAUAAUGAUGAUCAGAGGCUCCUGAUCUACUUCU